AGCGCAGGCGGGAAGACAAGUUGGAAGUGAAAACCAUGGGCUCAACCCAUGAAUUGCUUUCAAAACUGUUUUUCUUGAGUAGUGCAGAGGUAGAUGGAAUUCCCGGUGUAGCGGUGGAAUGUGUAGAUAUCGGGAAGAACACCAAUGGCGAAGGCAGGUCUCUGGGCCGUUACUGACGCUGAGGAGCGAAAGCGUGGGGAGCGAACA
This 207-nucleotide ribosomal RNA is filed under the name uncultured bacterium. Its description in RNAcentral is "partial 16S ribosomal RNA". It matches the Rfam family "Bacterial small subunit ribosomal RNA", at positions 568 to 774 of the family's 1533-position model. The record is from RNAcentral.